GACGAACGCUGGCGGCGUGCCUAAUACAUGCAAGUAGAACGCUGAAGGAGGAGCUUGCUUCUCUGGAUGAGUUGCGAACGGGUGAGUAACGCGUAGGUAACCUGCCUGGUAGCGGGGGAUAACUAUUGGAAACGAUAGCUAAUACCGCAUAAGAGUAGAUGUUGCAUGACAUUUGCUUAAAAGGUGGAAUUGCAUCACUACCAGAUGGACCUGCGUUGUAUUAGCUAGUUGGUGGGGUAACGGCUUACCAAGGCGACGAUACAUAGCCGACCUGAGAGGGUGAUCGGCCACACUGGGACUGAGACACGGCCCAGACUCCUACGGGAGGCAGCAGUAGGGAAUCUUCGGCAAUGGACGGAAGUCUGACCGAGCAACGCCGCGUGAGUGAAGAAGGUUUUCGGAUCGUAAAGCUCUGUUGUAAGAGAAGAACGAGUGUGAGAGUGGAAAGUUCACACUGUGACGGUAUCUUACCAGAAAGGGACGGCUAACUACGUG
This 495-nucleotide ribosomal RNA is filed under the name uncultured bacterium. RNAcentral's name for it is "partial 16S ribosomal RNA". It matches the Rfam family "Bacterial small subunit ribosomal RNA", at positions 28 to 507 of the family's 1533-position model. The record is from RNAcentral.